This is a non-coding RNA of Cinara cedri, 221 nucleotides long. The record is from the annotation of a GenBank genome assembly. Lineage: Eukaryota; Metazoa; Arthropoda; Insecta; Hemiptera; Aphididae.
GGCUAUUAGACCCGACAACUAAACCAUGUACUAAAGUGCGACCGCGCGGUUUUUACGGCUGUUCGGAAUUGUGUGAAAAUAAUACUCGUGAACGCCUAUACAUAUCUACACCUACGCCCACGUCGAACUUCACUCGGCGAACGGUUAAUUCGCGUGAUUCGCAAUAUAUUAUAAUUAUAUAACAAGUGUUAAUUGUAUACUCCGCGAAACAGCGAUAAAAA